GGGGGUGUAGCUCAGUUGGUUAGAGCGCCGGCCUGUCACGCCGGAGGUCGCGGGUUCGAGUCCCGUCACUCCCG
Alphaproteobacteria bacterium 43-37 is the source of this 74-nucleotide non-coding RNA. Lineage: Bacteria; Pseudomonadati; Pseudomonadota; Alphaproteobacteria. The record is from Rfam.